Molecule: non-coding RNA, 136 nt
Organism: Salvia hispanica
Lineage: Eukaryota; Viridiplantae; Streptophyta; Magnoliopsida; Lamiales; Lamiaceae
Source: RefSeq, a predicted model, not a curated record
GUUCUUGAGCAAGAUCAAAUCCUAUACAUCCUUGCAGGUUUGGGCCACGAGUAUGAUUCUGUGAUGGUAACAAUCACUUCAAGAGGUGAUAUGUGGACAGUGCAAGAUGUCACUGCACUCUUGCUUAGUUUCGAAU